AUACGUAGGUGGCGAGCGUUGUCCGGAAUUAUUGGGCGUAAAGAGCAUGUAGGCGGCUUAAUAAGUCGAGCGUGAAAAUGCGGGGCUCAACCCCGUAUGGCGCUGGAAACUGUUAGGCUUGAGUGCAGGAGAGGAAAGGGGAAUUCCCAGUGUAGCGGUGAAAUGCGUAGAUAUUGGGAGGAACACCAGUGGCGAAGGCGCCUUUCUGGACUGUGUCUGACGCUGAGAUGCGAAAGCCAGGGUAGCGAACGGGAUUAGAUACCCCGGGAGUCCUGGCCGUAAACGAUGGGUACUAGGUGUAGGAGGUAUCGACCCCUUCUGUGCCGGAGUUAACGCAAUAAGUACCCCGCCUGGGGAGUACGGCCGCAAGGUUGAAACUCAAAGGAAUUGACGGGG
This 396-nucleotide ribosomal RNA is filed under the name uncultured bacterium. RNAcentral's name for it is "partial 16S ribosomal RNA". It matches the Rfam family "Bacterial small subunit ribosomal RNA", at positions 523 to 918 of the family's 1533-position model. The record is from RNAcentral.